GACGUAGGGAGCGAGCGUUAUCCGGAUUCAUUGGGCGUAAAGCGCACGCAGGCGGCCAAGUAAGUCGGGUGUGAAAAUCCCGGGGCUCAACCCCGGGCGUGCAUCCGAAACUGCUUGGCUAGAGGUAGGCAGGGGAGAUCGGAAUUCCUGGUGUAGCGGUGAAAUGCGCAGAUAUCAGGAGGAACACCGGUGGCGAAGGCGGAUCUCUGGGCCUUACCUGACGCUCAGGUGCGAAAGCUAGGGGAGCGAACAGGAUUAGAACCGUACCGGUACCGUCCGU
This 280-nucleotide ribosomal RNA is filed under the name uncultured bacterium. RNAcentral's name for it is "partial 16S ribosomal RNA". It matches the Rfam family "Bacterial small subunit ribosomal RNA", at positions 524 to 798 of the family's 1533-position model. The record is from RNAcentral.